This 1075-nucleotide long non-coding RNA is filed under the name Chinchilla lanigera (long-tailed chinchilla). RNAcentral describes it as "lncRNA (ENSCLAG00000027593.1)". The record is from RNAcentral. Lineage: Eukaryota; Metazoa; Chordata; Mammalia; Rodentia; Chinchillidae.
UUUUUAUUCUCCUCAGAGAGUGUCUGCAUAGGGCUGUGCCCAUCGUGGAGAGCUGGUGCUUGUACCUGACACGGCUUAUUGCUAUGGAAACUCACGAGCCGUUCAUUUCUGGAAUCUUCCUUCUGUGAUUUCAGGUUGCAGGUGGCAGCAGGACCGACUUCUGCCUCUAUUUCUCUGCUGGGUCAGGACGGGGAGAGGGGAGCUAGCGGCCGCGCAUGCGCAGUCCCGGGAUGCUGCCUCUGGCGCCCGCCUGCCCGUCCCUGUCCCACGCAGUUUGGCGCCCUCUGCCGGUGACUGGGCCCUCGUGCGUGCUGCGGACCCCAUGGCGCAACGUCCAGGAGAUUCCUGGGAGACCAGAUGGGAAAACUGAGGUGCGGAGAGACCCCCAAAGCUGGGAAGUGGCAAGACGGAUUCACCCGAGCCAAGAGGAUGGGUCUGUGUGGGGUGUGGUGGCCAGGCAGGUGACUGCCACACCCUGAUGGGCUGAAGCAGGAGGGACCCAAUUUCAAGUCCAGCCUGGGCAACUUAGACCCUGUCUCAAGGUCUAAAAGAAACAAAAUAAAGAAGAACUGGGGAGUGUAGCUCAGUGUGCCCAUGUCGGCGUCUUCAUCCUCCUAGAGCAAAUGGGGAAUUGAGCCUGAGGUCACCACUGCAUGUUAGGUAGACAGUUCAGUCGGUAAUGCAAAUGAGCCCGACUCAGUUUGAUUAUUUUAAUUGUCCCAGUCUGCAUUGGUUCUGAUAAGCAUCUAGCAGCUGCUCAGAUCCUCCAUCACCCCAGCUGCGUCCGUGGUGAGCUCUGGUACACUGCGUAGGUCUGUCUUCACACUCGAACACGGGAGGGCUCUGUUCCUCGGGUCCUGUGCGAAUUCCCCUGUCUUCAGCAGUGGGAACUUUCCUCCCUUCUGCUCUGAGUCUCGUGUGACCACCAGGGUAGUUGUGGGCACUGCUACCAAGCUGUGUCUCCACCCAAAGUGACACGUAGGAGUUCUAACCCUCCAAUGUCUCAAUCUGCAACUGUGCUUAGAUAUAAUAAGGCCUUUUAGUGUUUUGAGAUAGAGUCUUACCAUGUAGCCCA